Molecule: ribosomal RNA, 468 nt
Filed under: uncultured bacterium
Lineage: Bacteria
Description: partial 16S ribosomal RNA
Rfam family: Bacterial small subunit ribosomal RNA
Source: RNAcentral
GACGAACGCUGGCGGCGUGCUUAACACAUGCAAGUCGAACGGAAAGGCCCUGCUUUUGUGGGGUGCUCGAGUGGCGAACGGGUGAGUAACACGUGAGUAACCUGCCCUUGACUUUGGGAUAACUUCAGGAAACUGGGGCUAAUACCGGAUAGGAGCUCCUGCUGCAUGGGGGGGGUUGGAAAGUUUCGGCGGGUGGGGAUGGACUCGCGGCUUAUCAACUUGUUGGUGGGGUAGUGGCUUACCAAGGCUUUGACGGGUAGCCGGCCUGAGAGGGUGACCGGCCACAUUGGGACUGAGAUACGGCCCAGACUCCUACGGGAGGCAGCAGUGGGGAAUAUUGCACAAUGGGCGGAAGCCUGAUGCAGCAACGCCGCGUGCGGGAUGACGGCCUUCGGUUUGUAAACCGCUUUCGCCUGUGACGAAGCGUGAGUGACGGUAAUGGGUAAAGAAGCACCGGCUAACUACGUG